This 71-nucleotide transfer RNA is filed under the name Chelonia mydas (Green sea turtle). It matches the Rfam family "tRNA". Rfam says of the family: Transfer RNA (tRNA) molecules are approximately 80 nucleotides in length. The record is from Rfam by way of RNAcentral. Lineage: Eukaryota; Metazoa; Chordata; Testudines; Cheloniidae. RNAcentral also lists the same sequence under 3 other names.
GGCAGUGUGACCUAGUAGACAGAGCACUGGACUGGAACUCAGGAAUCUGGGUUCUAUUCCCAGCUUUGCCC